Long non-coding RNA from Apis laboriosa (Himalayan honeybee), 3299 nucleotides. RefSeq lists it as uncharacterized. The transcript has 6 exons. The record is from RefSeq and is a predicted model, not a curated record. NCBI's taxonomy places the organism in Eukaryota, Metazoa, Arthropoda, Insecta, Hymenoptera, Apidae.
UACAUAUAUUGGUCGUAAACGCGUCCGCUUAUUAAACUUCUGUAUUAUGGUAUACAUACAAGUCGUAAUGAAUUUCAACGAUUGACAAAGAGACUGGAGAAUCUUUGAUAUCCGACUUAUGUGAAAAUUGAAGACAUGUAUUCUAACAAUUUCAUGGCUUAUAUUAAACAUAACCUUUAAAAAUGAUCGAAAUUAAUAGUUCCGAAUUUUUUCGAUUUUCAAUAUUCAAAGGUUAAUAGAUCAUGAUAUUCUCUUAUCUCAAAGGACUGCAACGAUGCUGUUGUAGUCUCGUAAAAACUACCCAAGGGAAAGAGAGCUAGCAAUCACCGAGAGCAUCGUUCGAAUCCCACUUGGGACUGGUAACAAUCAAGCAGCAAUUCCGUUGAAAAAGACAAUAGGCAUUUAGCCAAACAAAAAGAAAUCGUGUGACGAGAAUUCGUUAAAAAUUCAUGUAAUGUAUCAAUAUAUAAGAAUAAGCAUUUUAUAAGAAGCAUAAAGUGUUUUCGCAUUAAUGCGAAAUAUUAUUUGUCUAUAGAACGAAACGAUUUUCAUUUAUAUAUUUCCUAAUUUGUUUAAUAAAGAAUAAUCUUUUCGUUGUGUAUCUCAAAGUGUCGCUGUGAUAAAAUUAAUAGUACGAAGAAUUUAAAAAAGAAGAGAAAGAAACUAAAAAAAAUUAAAUGUAUUUAAUAUUUUCGCGGCAAAAAAAAGUAACAAUAUUAUCAAAAUCGAUUCAGAGGUCGCGUUGCUGGUUACGUUUUAGCUAUUUGCGUUAAAAAGACCAGAACGUGAAAUGAGAAUCAAUAAUCGAAAGAAGGAUGAAUACGGAUGCGGUGGCAACGUGAUGUAGCCACGUGACUUAGGUUUACCCCGGUGAGAGAAUUUAAGGACGUAUAUUGAAAUAACGAAUGUACAGAUGAAUACGCGUACUUAUAUACAUUGUUUGCGUCGAAACGAAUAAUCUCUGUGCCUUACUGCGGGUUUAGCGAAUGUUUGCAAUAAGGAUGAAGUUUCUAAACAUGGUCGUCCUAUUUUCUUGAAAUCAUUCGUACCUGAAUACUGACCGAACUUUAACUGGCUUCGAUUUGAAAGGACCCGUGUUCCCUUAGGACGUAGAAGAAGAAAAAGAAACUGAAAAGAACGACAAGACGUUACCGGUGAAGAUCUAUGGUAUCGAGACAAUAUUAAACCGAACAAGAUAACACUCUUGGAAAAGGUUCUUGGAUAUAUAUAAGCUGUUAUCAAUCAAGCUGGAUCCUGUAGUAACAAAAUCGAUUUAUUUCUUUUCGCUCUGAAAAUUUCACACAGCUAUGUUAGAAGACUAUAAAUAUUCAGACUAUAUUCAGAUUCAAAAAUCACUAUGUUUUUUUAGAACAUGGAGAAUUCGAAUAACUAAGAAAUUUUUCAAUUAAAUAUCUUGUUGAGAUAUUUUUGAAAAUGAUUAAAAAUUAAAAAAGAGAGGGAAAAAACUUUAUUUUGAAGACAGACAUAAAUUAUUCAAACAAUUUACUUAAACGUGUUAGAAACAAGUAUGAAUAUUGAAAUAAAGAUGAAGAGUUCUUACUACAUAUUUCAUCACCUCAUCAUAUACUAUAAUGUAAUGUUUUCCCAGUCAGGUAUCUAAGUAUCUAUUUAGAUUAAGUGAAGUAUUAUAGUUAUGCUCAGGCACGUGUGUGUAUACAUGUUGAUCGGUCAUUAUCAAUUACAUCUUUAAGGCUUAACGAAAUUCGAGUCAAUUACUAAGAUAACUAUAUAAAAUGAUUAUCGAAAUCGGAUACUAGAACGAAACGAAAAAAAUACAACUUUGAAGAAAAUGAAUACUACAAAUGAUUGGAAUGUUCAAGGUAUCGAAGGAAAGUGAAAUUUUCUUGAAGAAAAAUAGAAAGUUUUAUCGAUAAGUUUUUUUUUAUGACCUUAAAUGUCCUCGAAGAACACUCGUCGAAAUAAAAUAAGGACAGAAUGCAUCUAAACGUACUGUAUAUAGUUCGUAUCAGUCGAUAUUUUACAACAGGACCUGGAAUCGAUUUGGUAACUUCUAGACACGUGGCACCGCCAUUACGAUCGAUAUUACAAGAAUAUUUCGUCGAAAGUAUAUUCGCAAACUAUUUACCUAUACUACAACUGAAUUUCAUCAUUCGAUUUACAAAACAAUGGUCAAUAUCCAAACAGGAGAAGGAAAUUCGCGAGAGAGUCGAACAUGUAUAAUAUUGGAGGAAGAGAAAAUGGAAGAAAAUUCUAUAAAUAGGUUCUAUAUAUAUAUUCUAUAAACAGUUCAUGCAGUAGUUCAUAAUAUCGAAGAUAGAUCAGAUAGCAUGCAUUUUCGACAAUUUUCGAUUUAAUUUUCGAUAUAUUUUUUUUUUUUUUUGCCGAAACGAAAGAAUAUUUGGAAUAUUGACAGAAACUGAAUAGUGAAAAAGAAAAAUGAAGAAGAGAAAAGUAUGGAAGAAAGUUGAUUUUUUCGUAAUAGAGGUAUCAAGGCUUUAAUCCUCUUAUUUAGACAUGGUAUGGAAAAAGGAUACUUGUAUCUGAAAGUGUGAAAGUAGAAGCGAAUACUCUUUGAAAUAUCGCGUGAAGGAACAUAAUGUGGAAAAAUUGCGGUAAGUAUGUGAGAAAAAAAGAUUCGUAAAAGUAAAUUGAAUACUAUGAUACUACCUUCCAAUUUUAUCUGAGGGUAUGCUAUGUAGGUCAGGAUGGUUGUUUUCUUCGAGGAUUUUCCCAAUGCACGAUUUUUACCUUCUUGCACUUGUCGUAAUAUCAUCGAAUAAUAAGAAAGAUAGACUAUUGUGUAGAAAUCUGUUUUUCCCUUUCUUAGAGAUUGAUUUUUUAUUGUUUCUUUUGGUGUAAACAUUAUUCUCUUUUAAGUUUGCUUGAAAUUUCUCCUACAAACGUUGCGAGAUUUUUCUAUGCUUCGGAAGAAAAGCAAGAAGAUAAAGAAAUGGAAAUCGGGAUAGAAAAUAAGAUAAAAAGAUCGAAUGGAAAGGAUAAGAAAUUUAAAAGAUUUUGUGCGAUUGAAAGGAUGUUUCGCUUAAGUUUCCACGAAAUCUUGACACGGAAAGAAACUGUACAGCACAAUUCUCGAGCACUCGUAACGUUAAAGUAGAGAGUAGAAUAAUAGGUACUUGAAACAGUUACGAAAUGGCAGCUCAGCUAGAUCUCGCACGCGAAUUUUUUCUCGAAUGAAAACUAUUUUGAUGUUAUUUUUAUAUAAACUCUAUACGAUUAGAGAAAAUGAACAAAGGAUAAGAGAUGCAAUUUUGCAAUGAUAAUGAUAAAAUACUUUUUUUUAAAGAUUGUAAAGAUGA